CUUUUGCAAAAUUGACCCAAAAUACUAUGAGCCAUAUUAUUCCCGUGUAGCUUUUUUUAUUUUUUAAUGUAUAUACCCAAUGUCUUGAAAGGUUGAACUCAUGGAAGUAACAUUCAAAAACAUCCACUGUAUUUGAUUAUGUAAAAUGCAACUUUCUUGUGAAAAAUAUGUUUUAUUUUACUGUGAUGAGUUCAAAUAGCUCCAUCUAAGGGUUAAGCCUGCGCUGUUUGCAGGAGGAAGAUGUAUUUUUGUUAAUACAUGUAAUUCAUUCCUAUUUUGAGAUAGGGACUUUACUGGUCUUAGUCUUAUAAUAGGAAUUAUAUAUGUCUUGAAAUGUUCUAAUUUCUUUAGUUUAAAAUAUUAAUUUGGCUGUCACCUAAAUUAUGUCUUUUGGUUGGGUCAUUUUAUAUCUUUAUGAGAUUGAUUAAAAUUGCAUAAUGGGUUUGCCCAUGUGAAUUUUCUGUUUUUUCAAGAUUGAAUUUUUAGGGAAAAAGGAAGACCUAUGGUCGCUUAAGGGGCUUCCCUGGUGGCUCAGAUGGUAAAGAAUCUACCUGCAAUGUAGAAGACCCUAGUUUGAUCCACUGGAGAUAGGAAAGCCUACCCACUCCAGCCUUCUUGCCUGGGAAAUCUCAUGGACACAGGAGCCCGGUGGGUUACAGUCUAUAGGGGCUGGAGACGGUAGAACACGGCUGAGCAACUGAGCAUGCAUGAACGCUAAACCAUCACAUGACAUUCUCUGCCCUUCAUUUGCAGCAGAAGGAAAGGAAAUUACGUUGCUCACUUCUUCCUUUGUGUGCAAAAGCUGGGAGUGUGUGCAGAGACUGCUCCCCUUGAACACGACGCCCCGGAGUUCCCUUUACCUGGACAAGCCAGCCUUUCGAACAGCGCCCCACACGCCGGGUGCUGCAGAAGUGAUACAAGGAGCGAGACUGUUGAAUGCAGAGAUGGCAUAGAAGAAUUCGGACAGCUGUCUUCCUUUUAUCCACUUUAAAUGGCGGUCAACUUUUGCAAGUCCUUGUAACACCGGACUGAUUCAGAGAGAAACCAAGGAUAAUCUGGGAGGUUUGCACAGCUGAUGAGUCAUAAGCUCCCAAGGGUUUCCUUUACCAAAGACAGCAAUGCUUUUAAUCUCAAAGUCUGCUUUGUAAAAUGGUGAAUGAAAUAAUGAUUUGCAGCUUUAUUUUUUGUUGCUGUUUAGAGUGGGUUAUUUAAGAAUCGCUCUUUCCUGGUUGCAAGGAGAUGGUUAUAACCAAGAAUCAAGCACACGGCUGAAGGUCGCUGAC
This 1283-nucleotide long non-coding RNA is filed under the name Capra hircus (goat). RNAcentral describes it as "lncRNA (ENSCHIG00000005713.1)". Lineage: Eukaryota; Metazoa; Chordata; Mammalia; Artiodactyla; Bovidae. The record is from RNAcentral.